RNAcentral lists this long non-coding RNA (2176 nucleotides) under Salmo salar (Atlantic salmon). RNAcentral describes it as "lncRNA (ENSSSAG00000102294.1)". Lineage: Eukaryota; Metazoa; Chordata; Actinopteri; Salmoniformes; Salmonidae. The record is from RNAcentral.
GUGGUGGUGUUAGUUUAACUGGUGGUGGUGUUAGUUUAGCUGGUGGUGGUGUUAGUUUAGCUGGUGGUGGUGUUAGUUUAACUGGUGGUGGUGUUAGUUUAACUGGUGGUGGUGUUAGUUUAACUGGUGAUGGUGUUAGUUUAACUGGUGGUGGUUUUAGUUUAACUGGUGGUGGUGUUAGUUUAGCUGGUGGUGGUGUUAGUUUAGCUGGUGGUGGUGUUAGUUUAGCUGAUGGUGUUAGUUUAGCUGGUGGUGUUAGUUUAGCUGGUGUUGUUAGUUUAGCUGGUGGUGUUAGUUUAACUGGUGGUGGUUUUAGUUCAGCUGAUGGUGUUAGUUUAGCUGGUGGUGUUAGUUUAGCUGGUGUUGUUAGUUUAGCUGGUGGUGUUAGUUUAGCAGGUGGUGGUGUUAGUUUAGCUGGUGGUGUUAGUUUAACUGAUGGUGGUGUUUGUUUAACUGAUGGUGGUGUUAGUUUAACUGGUGGUGGUGUUAGUUUAGCUGGUGGUGGUGUUAGUUUAGCUGGUGGUGGUGUUAGUUUAGCUGGUGGUGGUGUUAGUUUAGCUGGUGGUGGUGUUAGUUUAACUGGUGGUGGUGUUAGUUUAGCUGGUGGUGGUGUUAGUUUAACUGGUGGUGGUGUUAGUUUAGCUGGUGGUGGUGUUAGUUUAGCUGGUGGUGUUAGUUUAGCUGGUGGUGUUAGUUUAGCUGGUGGUGUUAGUUUAGCUGGUGGUGUUAGUUUAACUGGUGGUGGUGUUAGUUUAGCUGGUGGUGUUAGUUUAGCUGGUGGUGUUAGUUUAGCUGGUGGUGUUAGUUUAACUGGUGUUAGUUUAGCUGGUGGUGGUGUUAAUUUAACUGGUGUUGGUGUUAGUUUAGCUGUUGGUGGUGUUAGUUUAGCUGGUGGUGGUGGUAGUUUAGCUGGUGGUGUUAGUAUAGCUGGUGGUGGUGUUAGUUUAACUGCUGGUGGUGUUAGUUUAGCUGGUGGUGGUGUUAGUUUAGCUGGUGGUGGUGUUAGUUUAGCUGGUGGUGGUGUUAGUUUAGCUGGUGGUGUUAGUUUAACUGGUGGUGGUGUUAGUUUAGCUGGUGGUGGUGUUAGUUUAGCUGGUGGUGGUGUUAGUUUAGCUGGUGGUGUUAGUUUAACUGGUGGUGGUGUUAGUUUAACUGAUGGUGUUAGUUUAACUGGUGGUGUUAGUUUAGCUGGUGGUGGUGUUAGUUUAGCUGGUGGUGUUAGUUUAACUGGUGGUGGUGUUAGUUUAGCUGGUGGUGUUAGUUUUGCUGGUGGUGUUAGUUUAACUGGUGUUAGUUUAGCUGGUGGUGGUGUUAAUUUAACUGGUGUUGGUGUUAGUUUAGCUGUUGGUGGUGUUAGUUUAGCUGGUGGUGGUGGUAGUUUAGCUGGUGGUGUUAGUAUAGCUGGUGGUGGUGUUAGUUUAACUGGUGGUGGUGUUAGUUUAGCUGGUGGUGGUGUUAGUUUAGCUGGUGGUGUUAGUUUAGCUGGUGGUGGUGUUAGUUUAGCUGGUGGUGGUGUUAGUUUAACUGGUGGUGGUGUUAGUUUAACUGGUGGUGGUGUUAGUUUAACUGGUGGUGGUGUUAGUUUAACUGGUGGUGGUGUUAGUUUAACUGGUGGUGGUGUUAGUUUAGCUGGUGGUGUUAUUAGUUUAGCUGGUGGUGUUAUUAGUUUAACUGGUGGUGGUGUUAGUUUAGCUGGUGGUGCAGUUUGUUUAGCUGGUGGUGCAGUUUGUUUAGCUGGUGGUGUUAGUUUAGCUGGUGGUGUUAUUCAUUUAGCUGUUGUUAGUUUAGUAGUGGUCUACAUACAGUAAUGGGUGCCCAGUAGGCUGGUCAAAGUAGCUGGUGGUGUUAGUUUAACUGGUGGUGUUAGUUUAACUGGUGUUAGUUUAGCUGGUGGUGGUGUUAGUUCAGCUGGUGGUGGUGUUAGUUUAACUGGUGGUGGUGUUAGUUUAUCUGGUGGUGGUGUUAGUUUAGCUGGUGGUGGUGUUAGUUUAGCUGGUGGUGUUAGUUUAACUGCUGGUGGUGUUAGUUUAACUGGUGGUGGUGUUAGUUUAGCUGGUGGUGUUAGUUUAACUGGUGGUGUUAGUUUAGCUGGUGGUGUUAGUUUAGCUGGUGGUGGUGUUAGUUUAGCUGGUGGUGGUGUUAGUUUAGCUGGUGGUGUUAGUUUAACUGGUGGUGG